This 214-nucleotide long non-coding RNA is filed under the name Lathyrus oleraceus (garden pea). Its description in RNAcentral is "Pisum sativum (pea) long non-coding RNA (PSAT_LNC013963)". The record is from RNAcentral. Lineage: Eukaryota; Viridiplantae; Streptophyta; Magnoliopsida; Fabales; Fabaceae.
UAAUUGUGUAGAAAUUAUGUUGAGCCGUUUUUAUUGACUUGUGAAGUUUGAUUAUGUGUUUGGGCCUUGGUCAAGGUUGAUUUAACUUUUGUUGGAUUAAAAUCAUUGGAUUUAGGGGAUUAAUGAAAUGUACAUUUCAUCUCCCAAAAUGAAUGAAUGAUUUUAAUUUGAUAAAAUUCCUCCCAUGACCAGUUUGUGUUUGUCUCAUUUCCCC